GAUCCCUGUCCCCUCCAUGCUUGGGCACUGGUGGUAGAUUGGAACAGUGAGUAGAGCCCUUGGCUUAGAUGCAAAAGAUCCAGUUCCAGCAUCAGUUUUAAGUGUUUGUCAGCCAUGUGACAUUGGUCAAGUCACUUCCCCUCUCUGAAACUUGUCUCAAAUAGGGAUAAUCUCUGCCCACUUGACUUGCCUCCUCCCCCAAAGAUUCAGGCAUCAGUAUUAUAGCCUCACCUUGGAGGGGACAUGUGGCUGCUGGAACAGAACCUCUGCUUCCAAUCCACUGCUGUGUAACUUGGGCAGCUCCUCCAGCGCCAGGCUGCCCUCAUUCACCAGCGCCUCCAGCAUCUCCAGGACGCGGACGACUUUGAACUGCAGCUGCGUCACCCGGGGGUCGCUGCCCAGGGCCAUAAGCUCGCGGCCCAACAGGUAGGAGAUGUCAUACACGUCCUCGGCGGUCAGCUGGAAGGGGCUCUUGCCCAACGCCCCCUCGGGCCCAACCUCGUCCCUCUCCUCGUCCUCCUCUCCCUCCUCCUCUUCCUCUUCUCGCACAGGGGGCUCCUCCAUGGCCACCCAGACCCCCGCCGACCUCGGAGCUGCUGUCUUGGAGUCUCCCAAAGCCGUAGAAUUUGCAUCGUAGGUGAUGGAAGAUCCGGGUGUCUCUUUGAGGGUGUUUUCUGGAGCCUGCGGCCAAACAGAAAGCAGCUGCUGGGGGCAGCGCGACAGAGUCCCCGAGGCUUGAGGAUCUGGAAAACUCCCAGGCAAAUUGUCACUAGGGUCUGUGGCGUCCGACUUCGCUGUGACUCUCAAUAAAAUGGAGAAUGUCUGCCCUG
RNAcentral lists this long non-coding RNA (830 nucleotides) under Pan troglodytes (chimpanzee). Its description in RNAcentral is "long non-coding RNA NONPTRT003698". Lineage: Eukaryota; Metazoa; Chordata; Mammalia; Primates; Hominidae. The record is from RNAcentral.